RNAcentral lists this small nuclear RNA (102 nucleotides) under Chinchilla lanigera (long-tailed chinchilla). Lineage: Eukaryota; Metazoa; Chordata; Mammalia; Rodentia; Chinchillidae. The record is from RNAcentral.
GUGCUUAUUUCCACAGCACACAUACUAAAAUUGGAAUGAUACAGAGAUUGGCAUGGCCCCUGUGGAAGACUCGCAGAUUUUCCUAAGUAUAAAGCAAUGAAU